AUAUAUAUAUAUAUAUAUAUAUAUAAUAACAAAACUUUCAGAAAUGUCAUUGAGUCAUUCAUUCAGUGCAUUGAUUCAUUCAGGAAGGAAGUAAAUGGCUCUCUUUAUAAAUGGGACUUUGAAUCAUUAGUUCACCUGAUUCGUUCAAAUGCAGAUUCAUUCAGAAACAAAUCUUCUGUGUUGUUGUAAGAACAUGUAUAACUGCAUUUAUGGACUACAUCAGGCAGUGAGUUGUUGCUCUGUAUCAGUUUGUUGUGCACUAAUAUGUUACUUUGAUUAUGUCCUCACAGGCUUGAACAACUGGCCAAGACAUCGGAGAGGCCGCCGUCCGUGGCUGCGGAGGCCUGUCCCUGACGCGUCUCAUUGGAUACACUUCGAGGCGAUUGAUUCAUCUGUGCAUGCCAUUUUCCAAAAAUGUUGGAUUUUAAAGAACAAUCAUGUUCAGCGGCUGAACACAAUCAUCAUCAUCAUCUCAAAACACAAUAACGAUGUUUGUGACACUCUGUCUGACGUUUUUCGAUACACACUGACCUUUGACCUGGACCACAGCCGGACCGCAGCUGAGUAAGUGUGAACAAGAGGACUGAAGAGGAACAUCUGUGCAAACUCAAACAUCUUGUGUCACAGUCAUUUGUGUUGUGCAGAUGUAAAACGUGGGAUGUUUAAUACCAGCACGAUUUUAACUUGAUGGGAAACGCAUUCAGCCUGUUACAUUAUGCAGCAGUUUACAUGAAAUCCUGUUUGCCUUCAUAAUCUUUCAUUGGACAACUUGACAUAAAAAACAACCAAGCACCAAAAAUUAUUUAGUCACAGUUUUGGGUUGUUGCCGAAGGUAACAUAUUAUUUUCUAACAUCUUGGUUAAAGGAAUAGUUCAAUUAGCCCAUUCAGGAUGCAGGGGAAUUUGUUUUUUCAUCCGAUUUGGAGAAAUGUAGCAUUGCAUCAGUGUAUGCAGUGAAUGGGUGCCAUCUAAAUGAGAGUCCAAACUGACGGCACCCAUUCACUGCAGACACUGAUGCAAUGCUACAUUUCUCCAAAUUUGGCGAAGAAACAAACUCAUCUACAUCUUGAAUUACCUGAGGGAGAGGACAUAUUAAGCAAAUAUUCAGCAAAUUUCGGGGUGGACUAUUCCUUUAAUACAGCAGUUCAAUAGUGGUUAAGCUAUAAUAAUAUUAGUGUACAGCAAUAAUAGCAAAUAAGGAUUUUAUAAAGAAAAAAGCUUGACCUUCAUGUUGACUUUUAAACUCAUCAAGACAGUAUGUGAAGGUCAUGUGCUCAUAAAGUGAGCUGUACAUACUGUGUGUCACUGGCACUGGAACUUUACAACUGUAAUAUUUGUGCUUAUUUAGUAUCAGGGGCUGUGUUCCGAAUGGAAUACUGGCAUACUGCAUAGUAUGCACAAUGCAUACUUAUUUUUUUAAGCAUAUUUGGAACAGUAUGCAAUGAUAAACGCUUCUUACUGCUAUAUUGCUGUCACAAGACCUCAUUGUAUUGCAUGUUUUAUUCAACUCUUUUUAAUGCACUUAAAUCUGAAAAUGUCUUAACCUUUGUCCGUCAAAUCAAAUGAGGCAAGAUUUUAACAUUUAUGGCUGAUAUGAUUUACUUUUCAUCCCACUCGAAAUUGAAGAUCAAGUUGAGUGUGUUUCAUUGUGCAAUACAGUACAGAAAACUCCAUGCACAAUAUGCAUACUGUAGAAGAAGCACUGUAGUGUGAUACUCCAAACACAGCAGAAGUGUUGCACUCAGAGCGUCGUCUGAAAUCACUGGAAGUAAACCAUGUACAUAGACUCUUUCAUGCAGCUCUGCGGUACAAACUUGUGUGCUUCCAACUCAAACUUCCUAAUUAUGACGUCACAGGAGGCGGAGCUUAUUUUCCUUCCCUUCAUAAUGCAUUAUGGGUACAGAGAGAGGAUUCAGUGAGUUCUUAUAACAAAUGUUUCAAUAACAAUUUACAGGAAGGUUCUACUCGUUAUCAUUAGUGAACUGCAUCAGUUAAAAUAAACUAAUAAUUUAAUUAACUUAAGCAUUGUAUUAAAGCACACUAAAUGUUUAAUUUCUGUAUGGAGGACAAGCUUGCAAAAAUAAAUAAAAUAAAAAUAAAAUAAAUAAAUAUAAUAAUGGAAAAAUAAAUUAAACAAAACAUUUUUUUAAUGAUACAAUUAAAAGUAUCCUAAAUUUCCUCUUUAUUUUAUUAUGUUCGUAAUUUAUUUGUAGCAUUAUUUUUAUAUUUAUUUAUUCUCACACGUAAGGUCCUCCAUAGAUUUCAAUACAUUGUUAAAAUUAAAAAAUGUAUCUGUUAGCAUUAUUUAAUGAACCUGAAUUACAUGAACUAACAGAAAAACAGUGGUUUUUAAGAAAUGUUAGCAAAUAUUAAUACUGAAAUGUGAUGUGGAUUAACCAAUCAGUAUGCAAGUGCUCAUAAUGUUUUCUGAAGGGAUAAUUAAAGCCGCAUUAUUGUAUAAUGUACAUUAUCAGACUGUACAACAGUGUACUGUGUGUAAAUCAUCUGUAUCAUAGGAAAUGCAAUAAGUGAAUGAGUUGCUAACAUCGAUGAUGUGAUAAUUAAUAAAAGGUCAAUUUAACUGUAAAACUAUGUAUUACAGUCUCUUGAUUCCUUUUCAGUAAGGAGGUUCAACCAACCCUGAGUUGACUAAACCUGAGAUGAGAAACUCAGAGUUUUCCUCAUUUCAGGGUUAACAUACUCAGAGUUUUCACUUAACCUCGUCUGAACCUCGAAGCGAGAAGUGUUUGCAAUCAACCUUGCUGUGCAUUAAAUAGAUUUGCAAAACAAUGUUUACUUUGGUAAAAAUGCCAAUCUCUAAACCAGUUACUAUUUUAGUUUAUUUGCUUAUAUAAAAAGCUUAAUGUAAUUUUCACGAUUAUAUGAUAUGAAUAGCUAUCGUUAUAUAAUGUCAGCGUGGUCAAACUUUUGUAGCACUAUAAAACAACUGAACAAGUCAAAACAACAGCAGCAUACACUGUAUACACUAAGAUACUGUACUUUCCAGCCUUUGUUUUGUUAUUGUUUGAGUUUUGAUGUUGUUUGUGUCUGCUCUGAUAAAGCGUUGAUCAUUUGCCCAUUUCAGAAAGGAGGUUAAGUGAAAGCUCUCAGCAUGUUAACACAGAAAUGAGAAAAUCUCUGGGUUUCGAUCUCAGGCUAAGUCAACUCGGAGUUGGUUGAACCUCGUUAUAGCGGAGCCGAACUCACGUAAAAACCAAAACAAUGUUCCUCCACGAGUAACGGAAGUUUCUACGCUUUAUUUUUACUGCUUGAGGGCAAAAGGUUAUAGUGCGUCUAUAAUUCAGUAUGGGCCAGUGACACGUGUCCCAGCAGGCGUAUGUUGUGAGCUGUUCGUGGGUCAGGAAUGAGGUGAGUCAUGCAUGAGUCAUUUACUCACACACUCUUGUGUAAAUACAUCUGAUCUCAGGAUGUCAGAAACAAAACAUUAGAAACUAAUGCAACCUGAGCUUCGUCACCUCAUGCUAUCUGUAAUCUCAAGAGUCAAGUAAAGUCAAGCUGGAGAAACUGAUCAUUUUCAAAGCAAUUUAUGUAUUUAUGACAAUGUUUUGGAACAGAGCUAUUGCCAUCAGGUCUUUUGAUAUUUAAAUGAUAGUCUGGUAUUCAUGUGAGUUGCAUCAGAAGCAUUUGUACCGUGUCACACAUAGACAUCAUGCCAAAUAUAGCUCUUUGGCUGCAUCCGCUAAGAGCUGAUUAAGUAUGGAACUAUUCACCUCAGGCCAGGAGAAAAGUUCCCUUACACUGUUCCAACAAGACGAGGCAAGUAAUUGGAAACAAUUUGAUCAGGAUGGUCAAGUAUCAUGAGAGGAAACAUACUGAAAUACCACGCACAUGUCUUGUCUUUAUUUAACAUGUGGCUCUGAGAUCUGCACUUCCAUAUUGAUUAACAACCAUCCAAAUUGCAUAAAUCACAAACAUAAAUCAAUCAUAGGUCUGUUCUUGCAGUCAUCUCUCUCUCUCUCUCUCUCUCUCUCUCUCUCUCUCUCGUAAACUACAAGCUUAAACAUUCUGUGUAAGUACUUGAUGAUGUUGAAAAUGAAUAAUCACAUGUGGGAUUCUGGCCAGACUGGAGUUCACAGAGUAAAAUGACCCAUGAAAUGUAGGGCAGAAAUAAUGUGUAGAAACAAGUGUACCACAUACUGUGCAUUCGGGAACAAAUAUAUUAUACUUGUAUGUCAUAUCACAGCUAGAAGUUUGAGGACAUAUUAAAAAAAAACACCUUUAUUUGUUAAAAUAAUGAUAUCACCAUUAUUUAUUUGGAAUAAAAAAUAAUCCUUUAUUUAUUAUUUUA
Carassius auratus (goldfish) is the source of this 4308-nucleotide long non-coding RNA. The record is from Ensembl. NCBI's taxonomy places the organism in Eukaryota, Metazoa, Chordata, Actinopteri, Cypriniformes, Cyprinidae.